RNAcentral lists this long non-coding RNA (677 nucleotides) under Strigops habroptila (Kakapo). RNAcentral's name for it is "lncRNA (ENSSHBG00005001237.1)". The record is from RNAcentral. Lineage: Eukaryota; Metazoa; Chordata; Aves; Psittaciformes; Psittacidae.
GGCCUUUCUGCGCGGCCCGGGGCGCUGGGGCGCGGCGGUGGGGAUGCGGGGCGCCCUGCGGCGGGUGCCCCUCUCGGCGGGUGCCCCUCUCGGCGGGUGCCCGGCGGCGGGGGCGGUGCUGCCGGUGGCUCUGUGGCUUGUGAGCGGUUCCGUCCGUGCCGCAGCGGUAGCUUGGGCCGCCGGGCGCUCCGGCAGCGGCAGGGCGCUAUGAUUAUAAAUCCAAUUCUGGCAGCACAAAACAAUAACUAUAAGCUGAGGAACUGAAGGGGCGGGUCGCUGGCACCGUUCCCUUAACGGCGUAAGGCAUCACUUAAAAGGUGCUGUGACAUCAGAUGACCUUCUCCACUGUCUCCAAACCCUGUGUAUGCACAUACAGCCAACAGCAGACUGCAUCCACCUCUAGAAGAAUGGGUGUUUAAGGUGCUUGAACACAGCAGCCUGAAAUGUGGAGUUCUAAUGCACUUGGAAAUGCUUUCCUGGCCCUUCCUGUUCCUCAGAAAUAUGGCUUGAUUCAACAGCAAGGCAGGGGAGCAGCUGUUCUGUGAACAAUCCUCAGAUGAUGUUCAGCUGAAACUCUAGAAAGGGAAACAGCCCUGUGGGCACUUGGAGAACUCAGUAUGAAUACCUAACUGUACCAAAUUGAAGAAAAUUGAAUAAAUUGAGUGUUAAAACCUGUA